RNAcentral lists this ribosomal RNA (872 nucleotides) under Rhynchodemus sp. morph Rs1. Its description in RNAcentral is "partial 28S ribosomal RNA". It matches the Rfam family "Eukaryotic large subunit ribosomal RNA", at positions 651 to 1468 of the family's 3401-position model. The record is from RNAcentral. Lineage: Eukaryota; Metazoa; Platyhelminthes; Tricladida; Geoplanidae.
GUCUUGAAACACGGACCAAGGAGUUUUAUAUUAUCGCGAGUCAAAGGGGCUAUACGAAACCCCACGGCGCANUGAAUGUAAAAGUUUUGCUUNNNGUGAACUGUGAUGUGACCUNNNNNNNNNNNNNNNNNCUAGUGCAACAUCGACCCGUCUAAAGGAGUUCGCUUCUGGGCGGAGUUUGAGCGAUAAUGUAGAGACCCGAAWGAUGGUGAACUAUGCUUGUGCAGGUUGAAGUCAGAGGAAACUCUGAUGGAGGACCGCCGCGGUUCUGACGUGCAAAUCGAUCGUCGGACAUGAGUAUAGGGGCGAAAGACUAAUCGAACCAUCUAGUAGCUGGUUCCCUCCGAAGUUUCCCUCAGGAUAGCUGGCAUUUAUUGUGUGUAGUUUUACCCGGUAAAGCGAAUGAUUAGAAGUAUUGGGGACGAAAUGUUUUCAACUUAUUCUCAAACUUUAAAUGGGUUCGAAGUGCAACUCGUUUAAUUAGAGUUGCACAUUGAAUACAAAUGCCUAGUGGGCCAUUUUUGGUAAGCAGAACUGGCGAUGUGGGAUGAACCAAACAUCUGGUUAAGGUGCCUAACAUCAUGCUCAUGAGAUACCACAAAAGGUGUUGGUUGAUAAAGACAGCAGGACGGUGGACAUGGAAGUCGUCAUCCGCUAAGGAGUGUGUAACAACUCACCUGCCGAAUCAACCAGCCCUGAAGAUGGAUGGCGCUGUAGCAUGAGACCUAUACCGGAUCGGCAGCGCAAGUCGAUUUCGUUAGAGAUUGAUGAGUAAGUGUUGCCGUGUAGGAGGGUGCCGUGGUUGCUAAGAAGCUACUGGCGGAGUCAGAGUGGAGCGGUCACGGGUACAGAUCUUGGUAGUAGUAGCAAUU